GAUGAACGCUGGCGGCGUGCCUAAUACAUGCAAGUCGAACGCAUUGUGGUUGAAAUGAUAUGAAGAACUUGUUCAGAUUUGAUUUUCAACAUUGCAAUGAGUGGCGAACGGGUGAGUAACACGUGGGAAACCUACCUCUUAGCAGGGGAUAACAUUUGGAAACAAAUGCUAAUACCGUAUAAUAAUUAAAACCGCAUGGUUUUAGUUUAAAAGAUGGUCUUGCUAUCACUAAGAGAUGGUCCCGCGGUGUAUUAGUUAGUUGGUGAGGUAAUGGCUCACCAAGACAAUGAUACAUAGCCGAGUUGAGAGACUGACCGGCCACAAUGGGACUGAGACACGGCCCAUACUCCUACGGGAGGCAGCAGUAGGGAAUCUUCCACAAUGGACGAAAGUCUGAUGGAGCAACGCCGCGUGUGUGAUGAAGGGUUUCGGCUCGUAAAACACUGUUGUAAGAGAAGAAUGACAUUGAGAGUAACUGUUCAAUGUGUGACGGUAUCUUACCAGAAAGGAACGGCUAAAUACGUGCCAGCAGCCGCGGUAAUACGUAUGUUCCAAGCGUUAUCCGGAUUUAUUGGGCGUAAAGCGAGCGCAGACGGUUAUUUAAGUCUGAAGUGAAAGCCCUCGGCUCAACCGAGGAAUUGCUUUGGAAACUGGAUAACUUGAGUGCAGUAGAGGAAAGUGGAACUCCAUGUGUAGCGGUGAAAUGCGUA
Molecule: ribosomal RNA, 710 nt
Filed under: uncultured Weissella sp.
Lineage: Bacteria; Bacillati; Bacillota; Bacilli; Lactobacillales; Lactobacillaceae
Description: bacterial SSU rRNA
Rfam family: Bacterial small subunit ribosomal RNA
Source: RNAcentral